CUGACAAAUGCAUGGUGCAAAUUAGGCCGCCGGUCCAGGUCUAUCUCUGUGCAGUCUCGAGGUCAGGAACAUCAAAUGUGUUUUUGAAUUUAGAGACUCAAAGAUAAUCAAAAGCCAGCAAAGUUCAGAGCGUCUCAGAAACGUGGGGGAGAAAAUGCAGCCCCAAAUAGCAAAUAGACAUCUGAAAUGAUAUUACUCCUCUGCCAUGAAAGAGAGCCAAUUUCAAUGAGGUGACAUUCAUUUCCUUUCAGGUGCUGAGAGGAGGAUGAGAUAGGCUGUCUGAUUUUUAAUAUAUCUAACUGUGUCAGAGCCCCUGGUGGCACACAGCACAGGCAAAUAUAGGGAGGAUACACUGGAGCAGAGUGGAUUUCUCAAAGCGCUGUGCAGAAAUGGUUGCUAUUGGAAUGACAACUAUUUUGUUUCUGUAAAAUGUGGAUAAAUAUCAAAACGCAGGGAUGAUAUUGGUUAGCAUGACCGGAGACUUUCAUAAGACGUGUGUUCAGUCCGUCUCAGCUGAUAUGUGCCGUCACGGGCGCUGCUUCAGCUCCAGACACCUGGAGAAAUCUCAUUUCGAUUUCUGCAGGAGCACCAGAUUCUAUUUUGCAUCUACAGUGAACAUGAAAACAACACAGAGAUGUAAAUCCACUGAUUCUGUUAUUACCGGGGGAAAUCUUUGUUCUCACGACUCCAUUGCUGCUCUUAAAAAAAGCAGCAAGAGCCAAAAAUCAGCAAAGACGUCAUACACUUGAAACAAGCGGUGAGUUAAUGGUGAGUGUUUUGUUGCUUGUGCGCUGCUCACUGUGGUGAAGAUUGUCUUUGCCUUUAAACCAGUGCUUCGAUUUGGAGUAUUAGCUUUGCUAGUUAGUUUCAGCAGCGCGAUAUAACCAGUAUGAUAACUUCGGUAAAUAUAACUUUAUGCAAAUCACGAGCCAUACUCGGUUGAAAACACACACUCAUCGUUAUCAAUACUUCCUUGUGAACGCACAACAAUCGACUUAAAGAUCAACUUUGUAUUUGAUUGUGGCAUUUCGCGGUAAUCUCCACCAUCGCAACAAGCUUCAGGACCCCAAAACUGCCCGUAUGUGUGCCUAAACAAAAAUCGGUUGAAUCCCAAGGACUCUGUCUGCCCAAAAAGGUGCCUGCACAAUACCCACUUAAAGUAGUUUCAACACAGACAGAAAAAAACAUCGAAAAUUUAUAACAAUCAGAUUAAUUUUUGUUAAACAGUCCCUCUCUACUUGACGCUGAAGUUCCUUUAGUCGAAACGUGCAGCAGCAGAAAACUGGCGAAUACAAGAGACUCUGAAGUUUUACGUUAACUAAACUGUGAACAAAUAACCUUUUAUGGUUUUACAGACUGUUUCAGAGUAGAUAACGCCUAACUGUGAGAUGAUAUCAAUGAGCUUUAAUCCAGACCGUCCUUUUUCAAAAUGACAUUUUCAUGUUUUCAAACUUCAAAGAAAUGCCGUUUCUCCACAGAUGUACCGAGUCUAUUUACUGCCCUGUUUAUCCUCAUAAUGUCUUUUUCGCUCGCUUUUAUGCUACAGAUUUGUUGACAGACGCAUUUUGGUUUAUUUUCCUCCAGGCAAUUUCAUCUUUAACAAACACCUCUUUGCAGGAGCUAAUUCCCGCUGAAAUGAUGAGAGCAAAAGCUCGCUGGAGCAUUCUUCCCACGGCUAAGCCACCUACCGCAGCUAAAGGAGGCUCAGCGCUGCCCAUCAUGCAGGGCGCCGGGCUGCUCUUAUCGUCCCUCCACGAGGCCGGAGAAGGGUAAUAGGAUUGCUGCUCGCAGAGAAAGUGCCGUGCUCACCAAGCAGUGGGUGGGGGGGCCGAGGCAAAAGUGUGAAGGGCCUCUGCUGCUGUCCAGCAUCAUGCAAGCAGAGAGGAGCAGGCACGGAGGAUGUGUUCUCCUCGCUCCAUAAAUAACCCUGCUAAAUUGCAGGCUUUGGAGGGUCAGUGGGACAGUGGACUGCUGGUGUAUAUCUGGAGGCCUGGAUAUAACCUGUAAUCCUGCAGCCCAGGAAACACACAGCACAGCACUUAUAGCAAAAUGUCUUUCCUGCAAAAAGGAAGCCGGGGUCUUUACGAGCAUGGGGGGAGAGAGAGAGAGAGAGAGAGAGCCGGGGAGAGGGGCCAGUGAGAGAGAGUGGAGUCAGGAGUGAUUAUAUGGUGUGUAGUCAGUGUCUGAGGCGUUGACUCCUUCUUUCCUUCCUUGCUUGCUUCCUACCUUCCUUCCUUGGCUGGCUGUGUCCCAGCAGCAGCACAGCAUCCACUUUGUACUCAGAUGAGAGAGAUGAAAGCAGCUAUGGAGGAGGGAGCGGCGGAGGAGGGGCGGGGGGCUCUUUUUUUAUAGACCACCAUAUCACUUUAGAUUCGGGUGCUGGCUGAGUGCAACUGUCACCAUUCAGAGAGAACCAUCAGGAUGAAACAAGCAUGCAAAGGUUUCAAACAACCUCUGAAGACCUCAGAAAUUUGGCUUGAAUUUUUGAAGAGGAGCGUCUGAAAAUUGAAGUUAAAAACUGAAACAAAAACAGCGUCUCUCUGCAGACGGAGAGGGUGAGCUGCAGGGUCAUGUUUGACGGACGUCUUCUUGGCUUUAACGCAACAACAGUGCACAUAAAAACCUGCGUCAUGAGACCCUAAAGAGAGUCACAGUUUAAGAAAGGAUGUGUGUCAAAGAAUUAAAGGAACAGUGCGUAGAUAUUAGAAAAUUUAACAGACCUUUUUCUUGUGAUACGUUUACAUAUCAUUUUUCUGUGAUACUGGGGUUUUCUUAAUGAUUCAAUAAUUAUUACGACAGCAUCAAUGUGUGUGUUCAAGAGAGCCGCCGUCAAGACUAAAACUAAAUCUAAAAUGCCUGCCAAAAACAACACUGCGCCACACUCGAGGUGUACACUUGGACCAAACUGGAGCAGGUUUUAGUCUGGAGCGAGAACAGUCCGACGUAAAUUCAUCUAAAUCCGAAAAUCAUAUCUGGAGGACUUCUGAGGUCCAGACUAAGACCAUCAGAAAAUGGACUCAAGAUACUUUUCAGACAUGACUGAUGCUGCAUUUUGAAUUUCUGAUGUCAGUUUAUUACGUGAUAUAAACUAAAUUACCCCCCUCCUACACGAUGAAGCAUGAAGGAACAUCAAACGCAGUGUAAUCAGAAUUAAAACUA
Molecule: non-coding RNA, 3159 nt
Organism: Xyrichtys novacula (pearly razorfish)
Lineage: Eukaryota; Metazoa; Chordata; Actinopteri; Labriformes; Labridae
Source: the annotation of a GenBank genome assembly